Non-coding RNA from Gongylonema pulchrum, 299 nucleotides. Lineage: Eukaryota; Metazoa; Nematoda; Chromadorea; Rhabditida; Gongylonematidae. The record is from Rfam.
GCCGGGCGUUGUGACGAGCGCCUGUAAUCCAAGUGACUGGGAGGCUUGCGAUGGUGGAUGGAGUGCGAGAGGGAGUCCUGGCUGGUGUGCGACGAUGACGACCGAGCGUCCAGGGCAAGCGUGGCGUCGAUAAGGUGUCACGGCAGGAGUGGUGUGGCACCUGGUCGCACAAUGAGGGGCGUACGGCUCAGGGCCGAAAGGCAGCAGGCAAAAGUCCCCGCGUCAUGACAGUGUCCGGAUAGCGCACGCGAGUCGUCCGCACCAGUCAGCCUUCUCAACACCUUCAGACCCAUCGCUUU